GCCUCAGUUGCUGCUCUGAGGCUGCCUGGUGCCCCCAGGGGGCCUGAGAACGACCCUUCUCCCUGCGCCUGGAGUUCCAGGUGGACCCCACGUCGUGCAUCAUUCAAAUCGAGAAGGCGCUAGCAGGAGGCCGAGCCCCUCCAGACACGACGCGUCUGACACUGCUUUGAGGACUGGUUCCCCGGGCCCUACCUGGCAGUCUCCAAUCACUCCCGGAUGCCGGGCGUGAGCGGUGUCUUCUGGAGAACAUCAGAUGGCCGGAGGUAGAAAAGUCAAGUAAAGAGAGCCUAACCCUGGCUGCGGAGCAGGUACAAGGAAGAUCCCUGCAUGAACUGAUAUUUGAAACGAGUCUUGAAACAUGAGGAGGAGUUUGCCCUCCAUGGACAAGAUGAGGGAAAGGCAGGUCUGGCGGAGGGCACGGCAUGACGAAUGCACGGAGGCAUGACGAGAGGAUGAGGUGCGUUUGGGGCGCAGAAGGGGUUUGGCGUGGCAGCAGCAGAGAGUGCAGAUGACCAAGGGCCGGGGAGGAAGAUGUAGAAAUCAGCUGGAGAUAGACCGUGGAAGACCUUGGGGGCCACUGUGGUCAAAAUGCGAAUGGGAACACAGAGGAGACAGAAGGCUGAAAUCCGAAAGGCGGGAAUUCAAAACAAAUAAAGAGGGAAUCUUACAAAGUCACACUUCCAGAACUAAAUGCGGACACAUUCGUUUGGCUUUACCCGCCUCCGCCUUUCCUUGGCCAUCCAGCCCCAAGAGCUGCACUACUCUGGUGCCUGUCUCAGAUUUAUUAUCAGUUUCCAGGGACUGGGAGGACAGCCUCACCACCCGCCUCUUCAUAAAUCAGGCGCUGAAAGUGGUUCAGACGACACGCUGACAGAAGACGCCUGGACCCCGGAGGGAUGGAGCUCUCGAGCCCCUGAGGCUGGCCAUUGGCCCUUCUGCAUAAUCCCAAAGAGAGAGAGGAUAGGAGAGGGGACAGGACCACUGCCUUCUGCAGCAUCCUCACGCCUUACCCGCCGCCCGCCUGCCAUGCCCCAGGCUCUGGGAUCCCAGGCUGAAUCCAAAGGAGUAGCCGCCUAAUGGUGCCAGGCUGUCGGAUGGGCAGGAACUGACAGCUUCAGGAGGGGGACGCCCUGCUUCGAAGUAGCCACGGUGCACUCUGUAUGUGGGCCAUGUGUGGUUUGAUGCGUUAGAAGUUUCAUCAAACCUCUGGGCAUAUUUAUACAAUUAGAGCGGCAAGCGAAAGAAAACAGCACGGUGACAAAUUGGGCUCGUGCACUCUGAUUAACUUGUUAAGCUAAAUAAAUUGCAUAGGAAACGUGCCCUGUUUGAAUUUAUGAAAUUGCUUCUCAUCAAGAUAGAUGGCCGCUGGACCAGUCCGGGGCAGGCAGCUGGUAUACGGUCUGGCUAGAACUCGUUGUGAGUACAGAAGGAGAGAGGACACCAUCCCCCCCACUGGAAACAAAACGACACAUCCCAUCUACAGGGGCCAAGCAGGGCCGCUGCUUUGUCCAGACCUUCGAGCAGUGACUUGCUCUAGCACUGUCCACUCCCGUUGACCCGGAACCCAGACAGCGAGCUGACUCCCGUCACCCAGUGCUCUCCGGGUGCUUGGUUUUUAUGAGCAAGAUGACUGGCACAAAAGCAAGAGGGCAUGGGGUUUGGGUUGAAAAACCCUGUAAAUCAGCCUACAUCUUCUAUGCUUUUAGCCACCGCAGGUAGAUGCCUCGCAGCGCUGAACUGUGUCCCAUCCCAACACACAGAAACGAACAUUUAUCAGGGACUUACUCUGUGUUGGGACAUAGGCUCCAUGCUUUAGUCAAUGAUCACAACGGCCCGCUGACAAACAUGCUAGUAUUAUUCCCAUUUUCCAAAUGCGCACAGAGCAAAGGUCCAUGGGAGAGUGCAGGGAAGCUAUAGUAAAUGGCAGCAUCGGGACUUGAACCCGGGUGAGGUUGGUCCCAGAGCCUGCAGUGUUCAUUGCCCUCCCC
Mirounga angustirostris (Northern elephant seal) is the source of this 1988-nucleotide long non-coding RNA. RefSeq lists it as uncharacterized. Lineage: Eukaryota; Metazoa; Chordata; Mammalia; Carnivora; Phocidae. The transcript has 3 exons. The record is from RefSeq and is a predicted model, not a curated record.